GUGCCAGCAGCCGCGGUAACACGUAGGGGACGAGCGUUGUCCGGAUUUAUUGGGCGUAAAGCGCGCGUAGGCGGUCGUGCAAGUCGGUUGUGAAAUCCCGGGGCUCAACCCCGGGACUGCGUCCGAAACUGUGCGACUGGAGGCAGGUAGGGGAGAUCGGAAUUCCUGGUGUAGCGGUGAAAUGCGCAGAUAUCAGGAGGAACACCGGUGGCGAAGGCGGAUCUCUGGGCCUUGCCUGACGCUGAGGCGCGAAAGCUAGGGGAGCGAACAGGAUUAGAUACCCCCGUAGUCC
RNAcentral lists this ribosomal RNA (292 nucleotides) under uncultured bacterium. RNAcentral describes it as "partial 16S ribosomal RNA". It matches the Rfam family "Bacterial small subunit ribosomal RNA", at positions 505 to 796 of the family's 1533-position model. The record is from RNAcentral.